Macadamia integrifolia is the source of this 687-nucleotide long non-coding RNA. RefSeq lists it as uncharacterized. The record is from RefSeq and is a predicted model, not a curated record. The transcript has 2 exons. Lineage: Eukaryota; Viridiplantae; Streptophyta; Magnoliopsida; Proteales; Proteaceae.
AGAGAGAGAGAUGGGUACUUUGCAUCCUAAUUUAGUUACACAACAACAUCAUCAUCAUCACCAUAUCAAGAGCGUCCUCCUCUUCCAAUGGCUCAAACUCAUGAGCCAACCAAGAAGCCAUUAGAUGCUGGAGCUCUCUUCGUUCUCAAAUCCAAAGGUUCAUGGCUACACUGUGGUUAUCAUAUGACGACAUCCAUAGUGGCUCCACCAGUGCUAACUAUACCAUUCGUAGUGGCCUCUCUGGGUUGGAUAGGGGGAGUUUUGUUUCUGAUGAUAGCAGCCAUGGUGAAUUUUUAUUCUUACAACCUCGUCUCUCUGGUUCUUGAACACUAUGCCCACAAGGGCAAGCGUUUCCUUCACUUCAGAGACAUGGUCCACGACAUCUUGGGUACAUACAUCUAAUCCUUCCAUCAUGCUCCAUUUCAUCUUCUUCCUUACAUGUUAUGAUGCGUUUUAAAACCAUGAAAUCCACCUAUCAAAGCGAGCAAUAUUGUGCCAUGGAUGAAGCAAUCAGGCGACCCUUCAUUGGUAUCAAAGUCAGAGAUGUGAAUGACUGUUGUUGGAAUGUAGAUUCAUAGAAAUACACAUGAAUGAUGUGGCCUCCUUUAUAUGAUAUGGCGUGGUUUGAUAUCAUGAGACUCACUUGUCAUUGACAGUUGGUAUAAAGCUUAAGGGAAUUUUUUUUUU